Jaculus jaculus (lesser Egyptian jerboa) is the source of this 106-nucleotide small nuclear RNA. Lineage: Eukaryota; Metazoa; Chordata; Mammalia; Rodentia; Dipodidae. The record is from Ensembl.
GUGCUUGCUUUAGCAGCACAAUACUAGAAUUGGAACAGUACAGAAAAGAUUAGAAUGGCCCUUGAGCAUGGAUAACACACAAAUUUGUGACGCCUCCCAAACUUUU